RNAcentral lists this long non-coding RNA (209 nucleotides) under Manihot esculenta (cassava). RNAcentral's name for it is "long non-coding RNA (MESC_LNC002740)". The record is from RNAcentral. Lineage: Eukaryota; Viridiplantae; Streptophyta; Magnoliopsida; Malpighiales; Euphorbiaceae.
CUGUGUUCAUUGAUAAUCCCAUUUCUAGAAUUUGAAAUCCUUUGUGGGUUCAGAUACUGAUGCUUGAGCUUGGACUGAUCUUGACGUGCUGUUUCGUAGCCAUAAUAUACGAGUAUUAUAAGGGUAAGCGCCGCCUUUCCUUUUCAGUAGAAAAGGAAUAAAUGUUUAUCUUCAUCUUCUUCAAUGUCUUUAUAUAAGGUGAAACAGGC